RNAcentral lists this non-coding RNA (19 nucleotides) under Ictalurus punctatus (channel catfish). Its record names the gene ipu-miR-107b. The record is from miRBase by way of RNAcentral. Lineage: Eukaryota; Metazoa; Chordata; Actinopteri; Siluriformes; Ictaluridae. RNAcentral also lists the same sequence under 2 other names.
AGCAGCAUUGUACAGGGCU